This 522-nucleotide ribosomal RNA is filed under the name Vibrio vulnificus. RNAcentral's name for it is "partial 23S ribosomal RNA". It matches the Rfam family "Bacterial large subunit ribosomal RNA", at positions 1 to 566 of the family's 2925-position model. Lineage: Bacteria; Pseudomonadati; Pseudomonadota; Gammaproteobacteria; Vibrionales; Vibrionaceae. The record is from RNAcentral.
GUUGUAUGGUUAAGUGACUAAGCGUACACGGUGGAUGCCUUGGCAGUCAGAGGCGAUGAAGGACGUAGUAACUUGCGAUAAGCGUAGAUGAGGCAGUAACAGCCACUUGAGUCUACGAUUUCCGAAUGGGGAAACCCACUGGCAUAAGCCAGUAUCAUUGAGUGAAUACAUAGCUCAAUGAAGCGAACCGGGAGAACUGAAACAUCUAAGUACCCCGAGGAAAAGAAAUCAACCGAGAUUCCGAAAGUAGCGGCGAGCGAAAUUGGAUUAGCCCUUAAGCUUUACAUGUGUUAGACGAACGGUCUGGAAAGUCCGACGAUACAGGGUGAUAGUCCCGUAGUUGACGAUGCAUGUUCAGUGAAAUCGAGUAGGGCGGGACACGUGUUAUCCUGUCUGAAUAUGGGGGGACCAUCCUCCAAGGCUAAAUACUCCUGACUGACCGAUAGUGAACCAGUACCGUGAGGGAAAGGCGAAAAGAACCCCUGUGAGGGGAGUGAAAUAGAACCUGAAACCGUGUACGUA